RNAcentral lists this ribosomal RNA (301 nucleotides) under uncultured bacterium. RNAcentral's name for it is "partial 16S ribosomal RNA". It matches the Rfam family "Bacterial small subunit ribosomal RNA", at positions 509 to 808 of the family's 1533-position model. The record is from RNAcentral.
CAGUCGCCACGGUAAUACGUAGGGUGCAAGCGUUAAUCGGAAUUACUGGGCGUAAAGCGUGCGCAGGCGGUUAUAUAAGACAGAUGUGAAAUCCCCGGGCUCAACCUGGGAACUGCAUUUGUGACUGUAUAGCUAGAGUACGGCAGAGGGGGAUGGAAUUCCGCGUGUAGCAGUGAAAUGCGUAGAUAUGCGGAGGAACACCGAUGGCGAAGGCAAUCCCCUGGGCCUGUACUGACGCUCAUGCACGAAAGCGUGGGGAGCAAACAGGAUUAGAUACCCCUGUAGUCCCUGUCUCUUAACA